UUCCAUAUGGUCUAGUUGUUAGGAUCCGGCGCCUCCCAUCACCGUGGCCCGGGUUCGAUUCCCGGUGUUGGAA
RNAcentral lists this transfer RNA (73 nucleotides) under Nematostella vectensis (starlet sea anemone). It matches the Rfam family "tRNA". From Rfam's summary of the family: Transfer RNA (tRNA) molecules are approximately 80 nucleotides in length. Their secondary structure includes four short double-helical elements and three loops (D, anti-codon, and T loops). Lineage: Eukaryota; Metazoa; Cnidaria; Anthozoa; Actiniaria; Edwardsiidae. The record is from Rfam by way of RNAcentral.